Onychomys torridus (southern grasshopper mouse) is the source of this 196-nucleotide small nuclear RNA. RefSeq annotates it as U2 spliceosomal RNA. The record is from RefSeq and is a predicted model, not a curated record. Lineage: Eukaryota; Metazoa; Chordata; Mammalia; Rodentia; Cricetidae. The transcript has a single exon.
AUCACUUCUCAGCCCUUUGGCUAAGAUUAAUUUUAAUAUCUGUUCUUAUCAGUUUAAUAUGUCUGUUUAUCUCUCCACACAAGUGAUGAGAAAACAGGCUCAGGGGCACUUAUGGGCUGAAUGGAUGUGUUUCCCCUAUUUAUUGAAGGCCUCAAAGCCAGCAUCUUUGCUUACAGUUAGAAAGUAGUUACACUCC